RNAcentral lists this ribosomal RNA (356 nucleotides) under uncultured bacterium. Its description in RNAcentral is "partial 16S ribosomal RNA". It matches the Rfam family "Bacterial small subunit ribosomal RNA", at positions 338 to 708 of the family's 1533-position model. The record is from RNAcentral.
CCUACGGGGUGCAGCAGUGGGGAAUAUUGGGCAAUGGGCGCAAGCCUGACCCAGCAACGCCGCGUGAAGGAAGAAGGCUUUCGGGUUGUACACUCCUUUUAUUAGGGACGAAUCAAGUGACGGUACCCGAUGAAUAAGCCACGCCUAACUACGUGCCACCAGACGCGGUAAUCCGUCGGGAGCAAGCGUUCUCCGGAUGUACUCGGGGUAAAGCGCUUGUAGGGGGGUGUGCAAGUCAGAUGUGAAAUGUAUGUGCGCAACCCCUGGCCUGCAGGUGAAACUGUACUUCUUGAGUGCUGGAGAGGCAGGAGGAAUGCGGGGUGUAGCGGUGAAAUGCGUAGAUAUAGGGAGGAACA